Molecule: long non-coding RNA, 617 nt
Organism: Rattus norvegicus (Norway rat)
Lineage: Eukaryota; Metazoa; Chordata; Mammalia; Rodentia; Muridae
Source: RefSeq, a predicted model, not a curated record
GAAUUCUUCUAACAUACAUCAGGUUCAUCACCAGCUGAUAGAUCUUGUCUCCAUUGUUAAAAACAAAUGAAAGCAGCAAGUGAAUGAAUUAUUCUGGGGAGAACAUUUCUAUGAAACUGUGCAGAUUUAGUGAAGGAUAUCAAUGUGAUUGACCAUGGAUUUGGAGAUAUUCAUUGGCACUUCCUCGUCUCAGCAGUGAAUGAACAACUGAAGAGGUCUCAUCCUUUCCCAGAAUCAGAUGUUCAGCAGUUAGGAGUAAGACGUUGUAAGCCCUUUUCCCAUCCAUGAGUGAUUGUUGACAGUCAGUCUUGUUCAAGCUCAAUAGAGAAUCCUUCAACUUCUGUUGAGUUCCUUAACACAGUGGUUGCAUCAUGCAUAAAGAAUGACACUUCAUACUCAUUCCCCCUGUCUUCCACCUCUGACAUUCUUCCCAUCCCUUCAUCCCCAGGUUCUCUAAGCCUUCGAGAGGAUGUUUUAAGCAUCUCCCUUAGGGUUAGGCUCUCAGCCAUCAUUCAUUUUCCAAAUCAUAGGCAGCCAUUUGCUACAAAGAAAGGCUUCUAUUAUUAUAACGGAUGGGAGUAGGUUUUAUCUAUGGGUAUAAACAUAGAAAUCUACAA